GCCAGACUCCUACGGGAGGCAGCAGUGGGGGAUAUUGCACAAUGGGGGGAACCCUGAUGUAGCGACGCCGCGUGGGUGAAGGAGCGUUUCGGCGCGUAAAGCCCUCUCGGCAGGGAAGAAGGAGGACGGUACCUGACUAAGAAGCCCCGGCUAACUACGUGCCAGCAGCCGCGGUAAUACGUAGGGGGCAAGCGUUGUCCGGAUUUACUGGGUGUAAAGGGGGCGCAGACGGCAGCGCAAGCCAGGAGUGAAAGCCCGGGGCCCAACCCCGGGACUGCUCUUGGAACUGCGCGGCUGGAGUGCAGGAGGGGCAGGCGGAAUUCCUGGUGUAGCGGUGAAAUGCGUAGAUAUCAGGAGGAACACCGGUGGCGAAGGCGGCCUGCUGGACUGCGACUGACGUUGAGGCCCGAAAGCGUGGGGAGCAAACAGGAUUAGAUACCCCGGUA
Molecule: ribosomal RNA, 446 nt
Filed under: uncultured bacterium
Lineage: Bacteria
Description: bacterial SSU rRNA
Rfam family: Bacterial small subunit ribosomal RNA
Source: RNAcentral